CCCACGCAUGUCUGGUGCUACUGGUGGCCAAUACACUGCUGGUUUGGAAGGCAUUUUGUGCUGCCUCUCCCAUGGCAGAGCAUACUCAUGAUCUUGACCUUUUUGCUGAUGUUGGAACUCUGUACUAUGUCGGCCUGGCAAAGGAACCAAAUAUAAAACUCCAGCCUUUGCAGACUCCCAUUCUCAGCACUUCUGGCACUGGGGCAGUUUCAUGAGCUAUGUGCACUGUGUCCUGGUCCUCACGAAGGUGACAAGCAGCCUCACUUACCUUGUUCAUCCACUCUGCCUGCGGAAACCCCGGACUUCCUGGCCAAGGCCACUCUGAGCGUGCAGGAGCCCUACCAGCAACGCUGGCCACCCAUGCACACAGGGCACGAGAAUCAAAAUGGUGCUCGUGAGGACAAGCGGCGACACCUUCAAGACAGCCACAGCUUCAAGAUGCUCCUUCAGUUCUCCGUCUGUUGCAGGUGCUGGUGGACCUGGCCGUCCUGGGGCAGGUGUAGGCCUUCACCCGCCACCCCUAGAAGGCUGAGCCCGUUGCAGCGCCCCGGCCAGAGCCAAGGCACUCAGAAGCAGCCAGAGAGGACCAGGAAGUGUGGCACCUGCGCAGGCGCCGGCUGGGACGCUGUUUCCCGGAUGCCGGAGGGCGGGCACCGCGUCCCCCGGCAGGCUGACAGGGGUUCUGUGGGGAGAGAUGAGAUGGCGUCAGGUCGUCAAGUUCUGGAUCAGGACCCUGUGGAGGUCUCAGGGCGGGCGGUGGGGGCCACUGUGUUCUCCAACGCAAGCACGCGGAGAAUGGAUUUUCUUCAGGCCCUGAGGGACAGCGGGCCCUCAGGAACCUUCCCUGAUCUUGGUGGAUCUGGGCCCCAGCUCCCUGGAUCCACCCCAGCCGCAUCUCUGGCCUCCUGGUGGGUUGAGGGACUGCGGACCCAGAGUGCGGACCCGGAAGCGAGAAGGAGACCUGGCGUCAGGGGUCCCCCAUGUCCCUCGAUCUCUACAGCCUUCGGCCUCAGCGCGCCCCUGACUGGACACCCUGGUUGGACUGGCUUGGCCUAUGCGCCCCAGCGCGUUAGGCACCCACAGCAGGGCCUGGGUGUUCUCUGCCCCCGGUUAACGUGGAAAGGAGGCCGCAAGGACGCAGUGGUCCGUUUUUCUGGCCAGAUUUUCUGGCCAGAUUCGGCCUUCAGAGCGGCCACCUCCAGAGACUCGGCCCUGCCACCCUGGCGCCCGCCCGGACGCCUCGCUGCCUUGGGAGACCCUAGUGUAGACACCCCGGUGAAAACGGGCCUGCCCGGGUCCAGGCUGAGCCGGAGUGCGCCCAGGAGUGUUCCAGUCAGAGCCUCCAGUUCUCGAGUCCCAGCGACCCUCGGUCAGACCUGGAAGCCCUCUGGGAGGAGGAGGAGGCCGGGACUGGGCUGCGCGGACACAGCCCCAGACACCUUCCUACGGAGAUGGCGGGGAAAGAUAGACAGCUCUUCAGUAGCUUCAUAUAAGAUCAGAGUCUUCUAAAUUUGAACUCCUCUCCAUUUCAUGUGCAGGUACCAUAACUAAGAAAGUGAUUUUUUAAAAAAAUGUCAAUCAGCAAAAGUAUGUUCCCUUGCUUUUUAACACCAUGACUAAUGAUGGGCUUCCUGUUUUGGCAGUAGUUAUACCUUUAGAGUAGUGAAUGCCUCCC
Molecule: long non-coding RNA, 1675 nt
Organism: Pan paniscus (pygmy chimpanzee)
Lineage: Eukaryota; Metazoa; Chordata; Mammalia; Primates; Hominidae
Source: Ensembl